This 436-nucleotide ribosomal RNA is filed under the name uncultured bacterium. RNAcentral's name for it is "bacterial SSU rRNA". It matches the Rfam family "Bacterial small subunit ribosomal RNA", at positions 355 to 786 of the family's 1533-position model. The record is from RNAcentral.
UGAGGAAUAUUGGUCAAUGGCCGAGAGGCUGAACCAGCCAAGUCGCGUGAGGGAUGAAGGUUCUAUGGAUCGUAAACCUCUUUUAUAAGGGAAUAAAGUGACCCACGUGUGGGUUUUUUGUAUGUACCUUAUGAAUAAGGAUCGGCUAACUCCGUGCCAGCAGCCGCGGUAAUACGGAGGAUCCGAGCGUUAUCCGGAUUUAUUGGGUUUAAAGGGUGCGUAGGCGGCCCCAUUAAGUCAGCGGUGAAAGUCUGUGGCUCAACCAUAGAAUUGCCGUUGAAACUGGGGGGCUUGAGUAUGUUUGAGGCAGGCGGAAUGCGUGGUGUAGCGGUGAAAUGCUUAGAUAUCACGCAGAACCCCGAUUGCGAAGGCAGCAUACCGGCGCUCAACUGACGCUGAGGCACGAAAGCGUGGGGAUCGAACAGGAUUAGAUACC